AUUUCUGUCUACUAGACAGCCUACGGAAUGGCUGUCCCCUACAUUUUUAUUGAUUUUUAUUAACUAUAGUUUUUAAUCAUUUUUUACAAUUUUUGCGAUAUGAAAAGGCGUUUUUAGCACUCAGAAGAGGUCAGUCACCAAAAUCGUACGCUAAAGGUGAUGGAAACCACCGAAAACAGAGUCAACACAGGGUAUUUCGUUAGCGUGGAGCAAGUACUGACUCUGGAAUUUAGACGGAACAGUUCUUGAAACGGUAGAACGAACAAACGAAACAAAAUAAGAGUGGAUAUGCGGAAUUCACUCUGGAAUGGCCACCGGACAAUUCAAAAAAGAUGUUCCAUCAAAUUUUCAAGAAAAUGAAGAGCUCCCGACAAUGGAGUUGGUAAAAAGCUAAACACGUACCAGCAGAAGAUUUGUGAAGUCUCCGACAAACUCCCUAACAAUAUCAACACCGUGAAAAAAACUAUGGAAGGAUAUCCGGCAAUAGAACUUGAAGCCAUGAAAAUUUCGUCCAUACAUUGAGGGAGCCAAAACAACCGUCAUCACGGAUCACGCCUGUUGGGAAGGUUUUGCCCGUUAACAUGGAGGUCCCGCCGGAAGGAGAACCUGUUCGAAGCUAAACGUUCUCUGUAAGCUCAAAGCGACUAUGUUUUAAAUUUAGUAUUGGAAUAA
This is a long non-coding RNA of Caenorhabditis elegans, 672 nucleotides long. Ensembl annotates it as ncRNA. Its record names the gene F39E9.10. The record is from Ensembl. NCBI's taxonomy places the organism in Eukaryota, Metazoa, Nematoda, Chromadorea, Rhabditida, Rhabditidae.